Molecule: ribosomal RNA, 332 nt
Filed under: uncultured bacterium
Lineage: Bacteria
Description: bacterial SSU rRNA
Rfam family: Bacterial small subunit ribosomal RNA
Source: RNAcentral
CGCGCAGGCGGUCGUACAAGUCGAAUGUGAAAGCCCCCGGCUCAACUGGGGAGGGUCAUUCGAUACUGUUCGACUCGAAGGCAGGAGAGGGAAGCGGAAUUCCCGGUGUAGUGGUGAAAUGCGUAGAUAUCGGGAGGAACACCAGUGGCGAAGGCGGCUUCCUGGCCUGUUCUUGACGCUGAGGCGCGAAAGCUAGGGGAGCAAACGGGAUUAGAUACCCCGGUAGUCCUAGCCGUAAACGAUGGACACUAGGUGUUGGCGGUAUCAACCCCGCCAGUGCCGUAGCUAACGCAUUAAGUGUCCCGCCUGGGGAGUACGGCCGCAAGGCUAAA